This 299-nucleotide ribosomal RNA is filed under the name uncultured bacterium. Its description in RNAcentral is "partial 16S ribosomal RNA". It matches the Rfam family "Bacterial small subunit ribosomal RNA", at positions 475 to 776 of the family's 1533-position model. The record is from RNAcentral.
CUAUGCGCCUUGCCAGCCCGCUCAGGUGUGCCAGCAGCCGCGGUAAUACGUAGGUGGCAAGCGUUAUCCGGAAUUAUUGGGCGUAAAGAGCGCGCAGGUGGUCAAUUAAGUCUGAUGUGAAAGCCCACGGCUUAACCGUGGAGGGUCAUUGGAAACUGGUUGACUUGAGUGCAGAAGAGGGAAGUAGAAUUCCAUGUGUAGCGGUGAAAUGCGUAGAGAUAUGGAGGAACACCAGUGGCGAAGGCGGCUUCCUGGUCUGCAACUGACACUGAGGCGCGAAAGCGUGGGGAGCAAACAGG